This 75-nucleotide transfer RNA is filed under the name Eubacteriales bacterium. RNAcentral describes it as "tRNA-Met". It matches the Rfam family "tRNA". From Rfam's summary of the family: Transfer RNA (tRNA) molecules are approximately 80 nucleotides in length. Their secondary structure includes four short double-helical elements and three loops (D, anti-codon, and T loops). The record is from RNAcentral. Lineage: Bacteria; Bacillati; Bacillota; Clostridia; Eubacteriales.
GCAGGGAGGUUCACAUGGUAGAGCAUUCGGCUCAUAACCGAACGGUCUCGGGUUCGAUCCCCCGGCCCCGCACCA